This 253-nucleotide ribosomal RNA is filed under the name uncultured bacterium. RNAcentral describes it as "partial 16S ribosomal RNA". It matches the Rfam family "Bacterial small subunit ribosomal RNA", at positions 524 to 776 of the family's 1533-position model. The record is from RNAcentral.
UACGUAGGGUGCGAGCGUUGUCCGGAAUUAUUGGGCGUAAAGAGCUUGUAGGCGGUCUGUCGCGUCUGCUGUGAAAAUCCGGGGCUCAACCCCGGACUUGCAGUGGGUACGGGCAGACUAGAGUGUGGUAGGGGAGACUGGAAUUCCUGGUGUAGCGGUGAAAUGCGUAGAUAUCAGGAGGAACACCGAUGGCGAAGGCAGGUCUCUGGGCCACUACUGACGCUGAGAAGCGAAAGCAUGGGGAGCGAACAGG